GAGGUUUUGUAAACUAGUUCCAAUUUUCAAGUAUGUCAUUAGUAUUCAAAGUGUUUUGGAUUUUAUUUAGUCCGAACUUUGUAGUUGCUUUCCAGUUUCUUUCCAUGUCAAGAAAUAGACAAUUUCAUCAAGGAUGUAAUUUAAAAAAAUUUAAAUUAAACAUUUUUAUAGUUUUUAUUGCUCCUAAUUUGCGUUGAUUAUACCUUUUUUACAAAACACUGUCAACAUCAUAGCAUAAACAAAUUCUUACUAAAAUGUGCAUUAUGUUUUUGAUUAUUUAAUCUUUUAGGAAUUUUGAAGCGUGAACUAAGAGAUAUUAGGCCACAUGAUUUUGAAGUUCUCAUCAAGUUACACAAAUUUGCGUAGUUUUCCUUUUGCAUUUUUAUUAGAUUCAUAUUUUGUAAAGUAUGUAUC
Molecule: non-coding RNA, 414 nt
Organism: Cinara cedri
Lineage: Eukaryota; Metazoa; Arthropoda; Insecta; Hemiptera; Aphididae
Source: the annotation of a GenBank genome assembly